GAUGAACGCUGGCGGCGUGCCUAAUACAUGCAAGUCGAGCGAACGGACGAGAAGCCUGCUUCUCUGAUGUUAGCGGCGGACGGGUGAGUAACACGUGGAUAACCUACCUAUAAGACUGGGAUAACUUCGGGAAACCGGAGCUAAUACCGGAUAAUAUUUUGAACCGCAUGGUUCAAAAGUGAAAGACGGUCUUGCUGUCACUUAUAGAUGGAUCCGCGCUGCAUUAGCUAGUUGGUAAGGUAACGGCUUACCAAGGCAACGAUGCAUAGCCGACCUGAGAGGGUGAUCGGCCACACUGGAACUGAGACACGGUCCAGACUCCUACGGGAGGCAGCAGUAGGGAAUCUUCCGCAAUGGGCGAAAGCCUGACGGAGUAACGCCGCGUGAGUGAUGAAGGUCUUCGGAUCGUAAAACUCUGUUAUUAGGGAAGAACAUAUGUGUAAGUAACUGUGCACAUCUUGACGGUACCUAAUCAGAAAGCCACGGCUAACUACGUG
RNAcentral lists this ribosomal RNA (497 nucleotides) under uncultured bacterium. RNAcentral's name for it is "partial 16S ribosomal RNA". It matches the Rfam family "Bacterial small subunit ribosomal RNA", at positions 28 to 507 of the family's 1533-position model. The record is from RNAcentral.